CUAAUGCGCCUUGAAAUGAGGAACACAAAAGUCACGUGUAAACAAAAAAUCUCUGUGUAGUGAUAUUUGACACAUUUCUAUGAUAAACAAAUAACUGAGCUGAACCAUUAGUGUUAAUUUAGAAAAUAAGGGAACACAGAAUAAAUGUGUAAAAACCAUGGAGCUAUGAAAUGUGUUCAAAGUAUUAAAAUUUCAAAGAACUUAUUGUGUUAAAAUUGGGAUUUUUUACCAUGAGGAGCGACAUCGCAAAAGGAUACUCGGGGUUUGCUAAAUUACGGAAAAAUGAAUCACACUUCGUACCCCGAAAAUUUAACCACAUAUGUAAAAAUGUCUCAGCUUCGAAACAAGCCAUCAUACAUAUACAAGUUUACGAUAUGGGCUGAGCAACAGAAGAAAACGUUACCAUUACGGCCUAUGGAAUAACAAUUGCGCAUAUUGCCCCAUCUUGUGACAAAGGAUCCAGAGAUGUCUUAAGCUAAUUUCACCUUGUACACCACAGAAAAUUGUUAAAAUGAUGUUCCAGACAUAUCAUUACUUUUAAAUAUGAGAUGACAAACUAAAGGUUUUAAAAAGUCCUGAAUAACUGAAAUGGACAAAAAUACACAGAUUUAUUCAGAAUGUCAUACUGAUGAAGAUCACCUAAAAAUAUUUGGAAAAAUCAGAACUAUGGAUUUCAAUAUGGGACAAUAUCCCUAAUGCGCCUUGAAAUGAGGAACACAAAAGUCACGUGUAAACAAAAAAUCUCUGUGUAGUGAUAUUUGACACAUUUCUAUGAUAAACAAAUAACUGAGCUGAACCAUUAGUGUUAAUUUAGAAAAUAAGGGAACACAGAAUAAAUGUGUAAAAACCAUGGAGCUAUGAAAUGUGUUCAAAGUAUUAAAAUUUCAAAGAA
Mytilus trossulus (common blue mussel) is the source of this 892-nucleotide long non-coding RNA. RefSeq lists it as uncharacterized. The record is from RefSeq and is a predicted model, not a curated record. NCBI's taxonomy places the organism in Eukaryota, Metazoa, Mollusca, Bivalvia, Mytilida, Mytilidae. The transcript is spliced from 3 exons.